Molecule: ribosomal RNA, 510 nt
Filed under: uncultured bacterium
Lineage: Bacteria
Description: partial 16S ribosomal RNA
Rfam family: Bacterial small subunit ribosomal RNA
Source: RNAcentral
GACGAACGCUGGCGGCGUGCUUAACACAUGCAAGUCGAACGAAGAGCGAUGGAACCUUGCUUCUAUCAAUCUUAGUGGCGAACGGGUGAGUAACGCGUAAUCAACCUUCCCUUCAGCGGGGGACAACAGUUGGAAACGACUGCUAAUACCGCAUACGAUCCAAUCUCGGCAUCGGGACUGGAUGAAAGGUGGCCUCUAUUUAUAAGCUAUCACUGAAGGAGGGGAUUGCGUCUGAUUAGCUAGUUGGAGGGGUAACGGCCCACCAAGGCGAUGAUCAGUAGCCGGUCUGAGAGGAUGAGCGGCCACAUUGAGACGGAGACAAGGCCCAGACUGCUACGGGAGGCAGCAGGGGGGAAGCUUCCGCAAUGGACGAAAGUCUGACGGAGCAAGGCCGCGUGAGUGAUGACGGCCUUCGGGUUGUAAAGCUCUGUUAAUCGGGACGAAUGGUUCUUGUGCGAAUAGUGCGAGGAUUUGACGGUACCGGAAGAGAAAGCCACGGCUAACUACGUG